This 1235-nucleotide ribosomal RNA is filed under the name Niphargus sp. ND063. RNAcentral's name for it is "partial large subunit ribosomal RNA". It matches the Rfam family "Eukaryotic large subunit ribosomal RNA", at positions 1357 to 2171 of the family's 3401-position model. Lineage: Eukaryota; Metazoa; Arthropoda; Malacostraca; Amphipoda; Niphargidae. The record is from RNAcentral.
AAGGCUUCAGUACGACCCAGUCAGAACUAUAAGUCUCAAAGCCCCGACGAGUAGGGUGGCGUGCCGGUGUGCGUCGAAGGCCAAGACGUGAGUCAGGCUGGAGCCGCCGGUAGUGCAGAUCUUGGUGGUAGUAGCAAGUACUCUGGUGAACCAACCUGGAGCUGUGAGGUCUGGAUUAGGGUUCCAUGUCAACAGUGAUUGAACAUGGGUAAGUCGAUCCUAAGCCAACUGUGAAUGCAGUGACAUCCCGACAAAGGGGCAUUUCGUGCGCCGCACCUGCACCCCCAAAGCAAAGCUCUCUCUCGCAUGCAUAAGCUGUCUGGUACGCGCACACACAAUGAUCACUAAAUAAAGUGAGUGUGUGCGGCUCUGCUAUUACGCUCAAAAGCGUUGAGGAUCUGACUGUCUGGAAUAAAAGAGAGAGAGUGGGUGAGUGUAAGGUAUGCCAUUGCAUGGCUUCCUGCGUUGGUUCUAUGUCUGGCGAAAGGGAAUGGGGACUUUGUUCCUUGACCGGUCCCGGCACCCUCGAUUGGCUCUGCCAAUCAAUGGUCCAUGCAAAUGGAACCAGGCCACAGCCGCUGGCAGUCGCCCGAGGAAGAGUUUUCUUUUCUGCUUAACGCACGAGAUCAUCCCUGGAAACAGUUCGGCUGGCGAAAGGGUGCUCCGUUGCGGCAGAGCGCCACGACUGUCGUGCGCGUCUCGGUGUUCCUGCCGGUCCGUGAAGACGUGGUCGAGGGGAAUGCUAUCUUGUAUCAACGAAACGCCCGACAAGUUCGGGACGGACCGUACCCUAUAUCCGCAUCUGGUCUCCAAGGUUCGUAGCCUCUGCAGAGUCAGACACAUGUAGGUAAGGGAAGUCGGCAAACUCGAUCCGUAACUUCGGGAAAAGGAUUGGCUCUGAGGGCCGAGCUGGGCCGGGCCUUGCCUGCAAAGCAGUACCUAUAGUGACCGGAGUUUCAGGAGUGCGAGGGGCUCUAGUAGCUGCUUGUGCGUGUGUGCGUUCGCGCGUGCGCGCGUGUGGGCACGAACGAGUCCACCGCUCCGCUCCAACCACGAACGGCUGUGACGGCAAGGGCUCUGGGCGGGAGCGAUCGAUCCGUUGGCCCCCAGCGCGUCUGGGUGGCGGCGGUGCUCUGUCUGACCCAUACGGCUCCAGCGGCUAGCGGCUAACUCAGAACUGUCAUGGACCAAGGGAAUCCGACUGUCUAAUUAAAACAAAGCGUCGUGACGGCCCC